GUUUUAAUACUGAUCAGAAUAUGACAGUACAGUAAUAGAUGGAAGAAGAGAGGUGUAAAUGUUUUAAUACUGAUCAGAAUAUGACAGUACAGUAAUAGAUGGAAGAAGAGAGGUGUAAAUGUUUUAAUACUGAUCAGAAUAUGACAGUACAUUUACAGUAAAUGAGGACAGUAAUAGGGGUUGUGUUCAGUAAAUAGAAAUGGGACUCAUUCAGUUGAAGAGGAAGCUGUUAUGACAACACACACACAGACCUUAACUGUGUAAAAUGUCAACUUCAAUGGGGUCGUAGCUGUUUUGAAGUGGUGUGUUUUUAGUGAAUCUCCUUUCUCUGUCAUCUCUGGUACAACACCCUCUGUGAGGUCAGAAACAUUCAGGGGAGAUGGAAAGAGAUCCUGUGAUGUGAUAUCCUCUUUUGUUACAGCCUGCUAGGUUACUGGUUGUCUACAAUGACGUCUCCUGUGUAAAUACACACCCUUGUUACGUUGCAGCCAGCAGCUUCAGGAAGUGAUACUGUGUAUUCAGUAUUCACAUUAUAAUAUGCACUAUUCUGUCAUUAUAAUAUCCACUAUUCUGUCAUUAUAAUAUGCACUAUUCUGUCAUUAUAAUAUCCACUAUUCUGUCAUUAUAAUAUCCACUAUUCUGUCAUUAUAAUAUGCACUAUUCUGUCAUUAUAAUAUCCACUAUUCUGUCAUUAUAAUAUCCACUAUUCUGUCAUUAUAAUAUCCACUAUUCUGUCAUUAUAAUACCCACUACAUUAUAAUAUCCACUAUUCUAUCAUUAUAAUAUCCACUCUUCUGUCAUUACAAUAUGCACUAUUCUGUCAUUAUAAUAUCCACUAUUCUAUCAUUAUAAUAUCCACUAUUCUGUCAUUAUAAUAUCCACUAUUCUGUCAUUAUAAUAUCCACUCUUCGGUCAUUAUAAUAUCCAUUAACCUGUCGUUAUAAUAUCUGCUAUUCUGUCAUUAUAAUAUCCACUAUUCUGUCAUUAUAAUAUCCACUACAUUAUAAUAUCCACUAUUCUAUCAUUAUAAUAUGCACUAUUCUGUCAUUAUAAUAUGCACUAUUCUGUCAUUAUAAUAUCCACUAUUCUAACUUGGCAUCUGAUUGUUUUUCCAAGUAGUUUUUCAUGCAACAGGCGUCACAAUUGGCCCAGCGUCGUCCGGGUUAGGAGACGGUUUGGCCCAGCGUCGUCCGGGUUAGGAGACGGUUUGUCCCAGCGUCGUCCGGGUUAGGAGACGGUUUGGCCCAGCGUCGUCCGGGUUAGGAGACGGUUUGGCCCAGCGUCGUCCGGGUUAGGAGACGGUUUGGCCCAGCGUCGUCCGGGUGAGGAGACGGUUUGGCCCAGCGUCGUCCGGGUGAGGAGACGGUUUGGCCCAGCGUCGUCCGGGUUAGGAGACGGUUUGGCAGGCACAGAUUUUCUUGUCCCAUUGCGCUCUAUCAACUACUGUGGCGUGCCGGGCACAUGCAUGCUAACACGGUCGCCAGGUGCACGUUGUUUCCUCUGACACAUUGGUGUGGCUGACUUCCCUGUUAUGUGGGCAGGAAGCAGUGUGGCUUGUGUCAAGAAGCAGUGUGGCUUGUGUCAAGAAGCAGUGUGGCUUGUGUCAAGAAGCAGUGUGGCUUGUGUCAAGAAGCAGUGUGGCUUGCCUCAAGAAGCAGUGUGGCUUGGCUGGGUUGUGUUUCGGAGGACGCAUGGCUCUCGACCUUCGCCUCUUCCAAGUCCGUACGGAAGUUGCAGCGAUGAGACAAGACUAUAACUACCAAUUGGAUACCAAGAAAUUGGGGAGAAAAAAGGUGUCUCCCAGGCCAGAUUGAUAUGCCCGGCGCGCCGGAAACGGCCCGUGGGCCGUACUUUGCCGCCCUCGACAGGUAACCAGUCCAUCCAACAGCAUCACCUAUAUGUUCUCUCCCAGACUGAUAGAGAGGAUGUCUGGAGUUUAUCAGAAGGUAACCAGUCCAUCCAACAGCAUCUCCUAUAUGUUCUCUCCCAGACUGAUAGAGAGGAUGUCUGGAGUAUAUCAUAAGGUAACCAGUCCAUCCAACAGCAUCUCCUAUAUGUUCUCUCCCAGACUCAUGGAUAGACAGUUUGGAGUGUAUCAGAAGGUAACCAGUCCAUCCAACAACAUCUCCUAUAUGUUCUCUCCCAGACUGAUAUACAGGAUGUCUGGAGUGUAUCAGAAGGUAACCAGUCCAUCCAACAGCAUCUCCUAUAUGUUCUCUCCCAGACUGAUACACUCCAGACAUCCUGUAUAUCAGAAGGUAACCAGUCCAUCCAACAGAGAGAGAGAGAGAGAGAGAGAGAGAGAGAGAGAGAGAGAGAGAGAGAGAGAGAGAGAGAGAGAGAGAGAGAGAGAGAGAGA
This is a long non-coding RNA of Oncorhynchus tshawytscha (Chinook salmon), 2359 nucleotides long. Lineage: Eukaryota; Metazoa; Chordata; Actinopteri; Salmoniformes; Salmonidae. The record is from Ensembl.